RNAcentral lists this non-coding RNA (137 nucleotides) under Coxiella burnetii. Its description in RNAcentral is "Coxiella burnetii sRNA 14". It matches the Rfam family "Coxiella burnetii sRNA 14", at positions 53 to 189 of the family's 189-position model. From Rfam's summary of the family: CbSRs 2, 3, 4 and 9 are located antisense to identified ORFs and are up-regulated during intracellular growth in host cells. The record is from Rfam by way of RNAcentral. Lineage: Bacteria; Pseudomonadati; Pseudomonadota; Gammaproteobacteria; Legionellales; Coxiellaceae.
CGGGAGGAUUAGUCUCCCAGGUUAGCCCGCAAUUCUUAUGAGUAACUCCUGUAACGGUACCCCCAUUUUCACAGCGAAGGUCAUCUCCCAAAGCUAUCGCAGUCAGCCCUAGAAGGACUAAGCUCGCUAUUAUUGCU